Molecule: ribosomal RNA, 460 nt
Filed under: uncultured bacterium
Lineage: Bacteria
Description: partial 16S ribosomal RNA
Rfam family: Bacterial small subunit ribosomal RNA
Source: RNAcentral
CCUACGGGAUGCUGCAGUGAGGAAUAUUGGUCAAUGGACGCAAGUCUGAACCAGCCAUGCCGCGUGCAGGAAGACGGCUCUAUGAGUUGUAAACUGCUUUUGUACGAGGGUAAACGCAGAUACGCGUAUCUGUCUGAAAGUAUCGUACGAAUAAGGAUCGGCUAACUCCGUGCCAGCAGCCGCGGUAAUACGGAGGAUUCAAGCGUUAUCCGGAUUUAUUGGGUUUAAAGGGUGCGUAGGCGGUAGGAUAAGUUAGAGGUGAAAUCCCGAGGCUCAACUUCGGAAUUGCCGCUGAGACUGGCCGGCUAGAGAGUAGUUGCGGUAGGCGGAAUGUAUGGUGUAGCGGUGAAAUGCUUAGAGAUCACACAGAACACCGAUUGCGAAGGCAGCUUACCAAGCUACUUCUGACGUUGAGGCACGAAAGCGUGGGGAGCAAACAGGAUUAGAUACCCCUGUAGUC